Molecule: ribosomal RNA, 401 nt
Filed under: uncultured bacterium
Lineage: Bacteria
Description: bacterial SSU rRNA
Rfam family: Bacterial small subunit ribosomal RNA
Source: RNAcentral
AUUGAACGCUGGCGGCAUGCCUUACACAUGCAAGUCGAACGGCAGCACGGGAGCAAUCCUGGUGGCGAGUGGCGAACGGGUGAGUAAUAUAUCGGAACGUGCCCAGUCGUGGGGGAUAACGUAGCGAAAGCUACGCUAAUACCGCAUACGAUCUAUGGAUGAAAGCGGGGGAUCGCAAGACCUCGCGCGAUUGGAGCGGCCGAUAUCAGAUUAGGUAGUUGGUGGGGUAAAAGCCCACCAAGCCGACGAUCUGUAGCUGGUCUGAGAGGACGACCAGCCACACUGGGACUGAGACACGGCCCAGACUCCUACGGGAGGCAGCAGUGGGGAAUUUUGGACAAUGGGCGCAAGCCUGAUCCAGCAAUGCCGCGUGCAGGAUGAAGGCCUUCGGGUUGUAACUG